Molecule: ribosomal RNA, 457 nt
Filed under: uncultured Ignavibacteria bacterium
Lineage: Bacteria; Pseudomonadati; Ignavibacteriota; Ignavibacteria
Description: partial 16S ribosomal RNA
Rfam family: Bacterial small subunit ribosomal RNA
Source: RNAcentral
CCUACGGGAGGCAGCAGUGAGGAAUAUUGGGCAAUGCCCGAAAGGGUGACCCAGCAACGCCGCGUGGAGGAUGAAGUCCUUCUGGACGUAAACUCCUUUUAGAGGGGACGAAAAGCCCGAUUUGUCGGGAAUUGACGGUACCCUCAGAAAAAGCACCGGCUAACUACGUGCCAGCAGCCGCGGUAAUACGUAGGGUGCAAGCGUUGUCCGGAUUCACUGGGUGUAAAGGGUGCGCAGGCGGGCUCUUAAGUCAAAGGUAAAAUCUCUCGGCUUAACCGGGAAAUUGCCUUGGAUACUGACAGCCUUGAGGACGGGAGAGGGAGAUGGAAUUCCAGGUGUAGCGGUGAAAUGCGUAGAUAUCGGGAGGAACACCGGAGGCGAAGGCGGUCUCCUGGCCCGUUACUGACGCGCAGGCACGAAAGCGGGGGGAGCAAACGGGAUUAGAUCCCCGGGUAGU